GGAGCUGGACGUUUCCUUCACCUGGAACAGCACUCAGUACCUUUUCCUCUGCUGCCCAACGAGCCGGCCGAAGGCGCAGGCCGAGGGGUCGAGCUGGCCCGAGAGCCUGCGGAUGUGUGUGCAUCCUGCCGGAAGCAGCAGGGCUGAGCAGGAAGUUGCAAUUACAAGAGGGCAGGGCUUCUGCAGAAGCUGAGCGGUGCUGGCUCAGAGCAGCCAGGGCUUAUCCAAGGAAGGUAUGUGCGGGGGCUCCCGGGACCAGGAAUCGAACCGGCGCCACAGCAGUGAGCCGAGCCACUGCAGCAAUAAUGCCAGAUCCUUAACCCUCAGCACCACAAGGGAACUCCUCGACUGCUUCUUAACUUUUCAAGAUAAUUAUCAUUUGGGAUGAAGUUUCUUACUCUUGAAUCAGAGCCAAGGGACCUUUUUUUUUUUUCAGUUCCUCCUCCCUGACCAGCUCCUCCUUGUUCACUUCCUCCAGAACCCCUCCAUGCAGCCUCCACGCACCUCUCUGAAGAGUGACCCAUACCUCGUCACCCACUGGCUUCAAGAUCGCCACUGACCCCCCGCCUUUUCCUGCAAGGAGCACCGCAGCCCGCAGGGUCAGCUCCAUCCUCCGGAGUCCUCCGGAUGCAGCCCGGCCUGAAGUCCUUCCUGAACACCUGUCGUCAGCAUGACAGUGGAAUCUCUCAUAAUCAGCUUCAACUGGUUCCAAGCCAGGGGACCCCCGGGCACUGGCCCAGGAUGGUUGGAGUUCACGCCGGCUUAUGCUGCUGUUCUUGCUGGUGAAUGGUGUCCCCCGCUUCUCUCACAAAUGUCCUGCUUUGGAAAAUGAGUCAUAUGG
RNAcentral lists this long non-coding RNA (841 nucleotides) under Sus scrofa (pig). RNAcentral describes it as "lncRNA (ENSSSCG00065050923.1)". The record is from RNAcentral. Lineage: Eukaryota; Metazoa; Chordata; Mammalia; Artiodactyla; Suidae.